This 2115-nucleotide ribosomal RNA is filed under the name Ligilactobacillus salivarius. RNAcentral describes it as "partial 23S ribosomal RNA". It matches the Rfam family "Bacterial large subunit ribosomal RNA", at positions 1 to 2121 of the family's 2925-position model. The record is from RNAcentral. Lineage: Bacteria; Bacillati; Bacillota; Bacilli; Lactobacillales; Lactobacillaceae.
UUAGGUUAAGUUAUUAAGGGCGUAUGGUGGAUGCCUUGGCACUAGGAGCCGAUGAAGGACGUGACUAACUGCGAUAUGCUUCGGGGAGUUGUAAGUAAACUAUGAUCCGGAGAUUUCCGAAUGGGGAAACCUAACAGGUUUUACCGCCUGUUAUCACUAAGUGAAUUCAUAGCUUAGUUGAAGGUAGACGUGGGGAACUGAAACAUCUAAGUACCCACAGGAAGAGAAAGAAAUUCGAUUCCCUCAGUAGCGGCGAGCGAACCGGGAAGAGCCCAAACUAAGAAGCUUGCUUCUUAGGGUUGUAGGACUGAACAUUUGAGUUACCAAGAAACGAAGUAGUUGAAUAAUCUGGGAAGAUUAGCCAAAGAGAGUGAUAGCCUCGUAAGCGAAACUUCGUUUCCUCAGUUCAGGAUCCUGAGUACGGCGGAACACGUGAAACUCCGUCGGAAUCCGGGAGGACCAUCUCCCAAGGCUAAAUACUACCUAGUGACCGAUAGUGAACCAGUACCGUGAGGGAAAGGUGAAAAGCACCCCGGGAGGGGAGUGAAAUAGUUCCUGAAACCAUAUGCCUACAAGUAGUCAGAGCUCGUUAAUGAGUGAUGGCGUGCCUUUUGUAGAAUGAACCGGCGAGUUACGUUAGCGUGCGAGGUUAAGGAGGAAAGUCCGGAGCCGUAGCGAAAGCGAGUCUGAAUAGGGCGAGAUAGUACGUUGACGUAGACCCGAAACCAGGUGACCUACCCAUGCCCAGGUUGAAGGUGCGGUAAAACGCACUGGAGGACCGAACCCGUGUAUGUUGAAAAAUGCUGGGAUGAGGUGUGGGUAGAGGUGAAAUUCCAAACGAACUUGGAGAUAGCUGGUUCUCUCCGAAAUAGCUUUAGGGCUAGCCUCGGAGUUAAGAAUCGUGGAGGUAGAGCACUGUUUGGACUAGGGGCCCGUCUUGGGUUACUGAAUUCAGAUAAACUCCGAAUGCCACAGAUUUAUAUCCGGGAGUCAGACUGCGAGUGAUAAGAUCCGUAGUCGAAAGGGAAACAGCCCAGACCACCGAUUAAGGUCCCAAAAUAUGUGUUAAGUGGAAAAGGAUGUGGAAUUGCAUAGACAACUAGGAUGUUGGCUUAGAAGCAGCCACCAUUUAAAGAGUGCGUAAUAGCUCACUAGUCGAGUGAUCCUGCGCCGAAAAUGUAACGGGGCUAAACACAUUACCGAAAUCGUGGAUGUACCGUAAGGUACAUGGUAGGAGAGCGUUCUAAGGACGGCGAAGCUAGACCGUAAGGACUGGUGGAGUGCUUAGAAGUGAGAAUGCCGGUAUGAGUAGCGAAAGAUCAGUGAGAAUCUGGUCCACCGUAUGACUAAGGUUUCCUGGGGAAGGCUCGUCCUCCCAGGGUUAGUCGGGACCUAAGCCGAGGCCGAGAGGCGUAGGCGAUGGAUAACAGGUUGAGAUUCCUGUACUGGUUAAACUUGUUUGAACAAUGGAGGGACGCAGGAGGCUAUCGAUGCGUACUGUUGGAUAUGUACGUUCAAGCAACAAGUCUGUAGAUGAGUCAAAUGCUUAUCUACUUAAGGACAAGUUGUGAUGAGGAGCGAAAUUUAGUAGCGAAGUGAGAGACGUCACACUGCCAAGAAAAGCUUCUAGUUAGAGUUUAAUCACCCGUACCGCAAACCGACACAGGUAGUCGAGGCGAGUAGCCUAAGGUGAGCGAGAGAACUCUCGUUAAGGAACUCGGCAAAAUGACCCCGUAACUUCGGGAGAAGGGGUGCUGAGCGCAAGCUCAGCCGCAGUGAAUAGGCCCAGGCGACUGUUUAUCAAAAACACAGGUUUCUGCAAAAUCGUAAGAUGAAGUAUAGGGGCUGACGCCUGCCCGGUGCUGGAAGGUUAAGAGGAUGGGUUAGCGUAAGCGAAGCUCAGAAUUGAAGCCCCAGUAAACGGCGGCCGUAACUAUAACGGUCCUAAGGUAGCGAAAUUCCUUGUCGGGUAAGUUCCGACCCGCACGAAAGGCGUAACGAUCUGGGCACUGUCUCAACGAGAGACUCGGUGAAAUUAUAAUACCCGUGAAGAUGCGGGUUACCCGCGACAGGACGGAAAGACCCCAUGGAGCUUUACUGUAGCUUGAUAUUGGG